GGGCGUAUGGUGUAGUGGUAUCACUCAUGCUUUGCAGCUUCGGUGCUCCAAUUCACCUAAAACAAUGUAUGCGGUCCAGGGUUCAAACCCCUGUGCGUCCA
This is a non-coding RNA of Mycena vitilis, 101 nucleotides long. Lineage: Eukaryota; Fungi; Basidiomycota; Agaricomycetes; Agaricales; Mycenaceae. The record is from the annotation of a GenBank genome assembly.